CCUACGGGUGGCAGCAGUGGGGAAUAUUGGACAAUGGGCGAAAGCCUGAUCCAGCCAUGCCGCGUGUGUGAAGAAGGCCUUCGGGUUGUAAAGCACUUUCAGUGGGGAAGAAAGCCUUGGGGCUAAUACCCUCGAGGAAGGACAUCACCCACAGAAGAAGCACCGGCUAACUCCGUGCCAGCAGCCGCGGUAAUACGGAGGGUGCGAGCGUUAAUCGGAAUUACUGGGCGUAAAGCGCGCGUAGGCGGUCUGAUAAGCCUGUUGUGAAAGCCCCGGGCUCAACCUGGGAACGGCAUCCGGAACUGUCAGGCUAGAGUGCAGGAGAGGAAGGUAGAAUUCCCGGUGUAGCAGUGAAAUGCGUAGAGAUCGGGAGGAAUACCAGUGGCGAAGGCGGCCUUCUGGACUGACACUGACGCUGAGGUGCGAAAGCGUGGGUAGCAAACAGGAUUAGAUACCCGAGUAGUC
RNAcentral lists this ribosomal RNA (465 nucleotides) under Vreelandella stevensii. Its description in RNAcentral is "partial 16S ribosomal RNA". It matches the Rfam family "Bacterial small subunit ribosomal RNA", at positions 338 to 795 of the family's 1533-position model. Lineage: Bacteria; Pseudomonadati; Pseudomonadota; Gammaproteobacteria; Oceanospirillales; Halomonadaceae. The record is from RNAcentral.